UUCUUUCACAGGACUGCUCCUGAAUCUUCCUCAGAGACUCCAGAUUGCCAGACAUGCACCAACAGUCUGAUAUCUAUCCUGUCCGAGGAACAGAAGAACCCGCAAUAAACAAGCUCUUCUCACCAUUCCAAAGCCACCAUACUUGGAGCAAAUGGAGUCCUACUUAAAGAAGGAGCUGCAGGCUCUUGAGUGGAGUAAAGAGAAUGCCCAGGAACUGAAGUUACAGGUCUGAUACAAGGUUCUCUUGGCUUGAAAUGAAGUGCUGAGAUGGGUACUUAAAUUUGCUAUCCAAAGGAAAAAGGAGAUGAGAGAAGUAGGCGCCUAUGGGUAGUACUGAAUAAGUGGAUUUGUAGCUCAGACUAGAGAACUUGCACAGGAUUCAGUUUAUUUAUAUAUUGGGUUGCUGCUCUUUGCAUGUUAUUGGGUUGUUUGCAUCUUCUAAUGUAUUCCACAUCUUCUAUAACAGUUUCCAUUUUCAAAUCAAAG
Molecule: long non-coding RNA, 486 nt
Filed under: Strigops habroptila (Kakapo)
Lineage: Eukaryota; Metazoa; Chordata; Aves; Psittaciformes; Psittacidae
Description: lncRNA (ENSSHBG00005001740.1)
Source: RNAcentral